Molecule: long non-coding RNA, 1709 nt
Organism: Eptesicus fuscus (big brown bat)
Lineage: Eukaryota; Metazoa; Chordata; Mammalia; Chiroptera; Vespertilionidae
Exons: 2
Source: RefSeq, a predicted model, not a curated record
GAGAGGAGAGGGCAGGAAGGGACCGGGAGCGGCAGGGCAGCUGGGCCCAGACUGGGGCAGGACCUGCGACGGGAGGACCUGCGGGAGAGCUACCCCGAGCGGCGCCUCGGGGUCUCGGGGCCUCCCGCGUCUACCCAGCCCCUGGGCCAGCCCCAGGAACCAGAUUCCGGGAGAAUGGGAAGAGCAGACGGAUUUACGGCCCGACCUAAAGGGCAGGAGUCUGGACCGAGACCGGGAACCAUCUGGGGUUGUACUCAAGCCGCUGCAGCCACAGCCACUAUACCACUGCCUCCUGCCCCAGGAACCUGGAUAGAUGACUGGAACACUUUCCCAAAGAACCUUGAUAGAUGACUGGAAGACCCCAUCCUGACUUCUGCCAAGGCUAGACCCUGCCCUUCUGCGGCUCCCAGGGAGGGAUGGGGUACUUAUACCAGCAGAUGGUCUGCGAACCACAGGGCAGGUGAGGAGACCCAGAAGCCUCCUCUUAGCCCUACCCCUCGCCCAACCUCCAUGAUUCCUUUCCGGAGCUUCAGGCUCCUCCUGCCUUGGGGCCUUGCAUAUGCUCCACCUUUUUUUCCAUCAUUCACUUUCAGAGGCAUUUCUGCAGUGAAACUUCUCUCUUCUGCCCCCAGGCCCAGGAAAGCAGGGCACCUCCCCGCCCCCCCAGCAUCCUGUUGCCCAUCUGUGCCAGUGCCUGCACACACUGGGGGGGGGGGGGGGGGGAGAGACCCUAUGUGUUCAUCUCUGUACCUGGCAGCCAACUAUUGCCCUUCCAGAGGGCCAGGCAGUCUCAGACCCUGCCCUUUCUAGUUGAUUAGCAAAUGCCUAAAUGACAAGUGUUUUCACAACCACUAGCUUUUUAAAAAACUCCCUAAACAGCCUGGCAGUGUAUACAGCAGAUGGCAUGAUCCCUAUUUUAAAGACAAGGAAACCAAGAGAGUACCACCUGCUCAGGAUUCACAGAGCCAGCCAGUGUCUCAGCCAAGAUUCGAGGGGGCCAAGACUCUUUCCCCCAGAGCCUAACUCCUUCUCCAUCUGCACCUUGUCCUAGCAGCCCAAAUUAAGAGGGCCAAAACAGAACUCUAAUCAUGUGGGCUCUCUCAUCCCCUUAAUUUGCUCCAACACGAACCAGGGAGUUACCCUGUUCCCCCCUCUCUCCCUCACACCAUUCCCAAGUCCUCCUGGACCUACCUCCUGAACAUCUACAACUGGCCCCCUUCUCUCCACCCUCAUGGCCACCCCUUUAGUCCAAGCCACCAUUUCUCAUUUGAAUUCCAACAGCGGUUGCCUAACUACCUCCUACCUCCCUCCAUCCUUGACCCGCUAUAGUUCAUUCUCCAUACCUUUUCCCACGGAGACUUUAAAACCUAAGUCAUACUGUGUCCCUUGACUGCUUAAAGCCCUCCAAAGGCUUCCCAAUUUCCUGAGACUGAAACCCAAGCGAGUAAGGCACAGCAUGAUCUGGCCCUGCCUUCCCCGUAGGCCUGGUGUCUGUCCCUCUCUCCUUCCCCAUGAAGCUCCAGUCACACAGGUCUUUUCUCAAGCCUCCCAUUGCAAGAUUUUUCCUACCUCAGGGCCUUUGCACAUGCAGCCUCCCCCUCCUCCCUUUUCUGGAGACUAGUCCAUUUCUUCCUUCAGGUCUUGGUUUAAAUGUCAUUCCUCAGAAGUCUUGACUAAUAGAUAAGACUUCCCAUUUAAAGCUAUUACAA